This is a long non-coding RNA of Paramormyrops kingsleyae, 3171 nucleotides long. RefSeq lists it as uncharacterized. The record is from RefSeq and is a predicted model, not a curated record. Lineage: Eukaryota; Metazoa; Chordata; Actinopteri; Osteoglossiformes; Mormyridae.
UAUUGACGUAAUCGGAGAGACAACCCCCAGUGUUUUGACCAAGAUCAACGUCUCAAUGGGUUUUUUCUCUUACGAGGGAGGAAGAGUCGUCCGGUGUAACAGGGUGGAAAAGUGGCGUACUUUCAGAGGAAAAGCGCCAAAGCAUUAGGAUCAGAUUUCAAGUGGAGCGCAGUGUUUAUUCCCUCUGCGCUCCGCUCCCUUUUAAGGAUGCCAAUAACAUAUAAAGUGAAAAAAAAGAAAGAGGAGUAUUCAGGGGAAAAGGAUGAGUGAUGCGGGGGCUGGUGCGGUAGGUUCCGGUCUCGUCUGCGUUUGCCGUGUUAGUUUUUACAGGCAAGUAAGUUGACUUGCUGUGUAUAAACAUUUAAUCUACAACUUACAUGUUAUAUAAGACCAUUAUUUUAUAAUACGACAUAUAUAUGGACAAAAGCGUCUGCUGAAUAAAAGUAAUCUAACAAACGUAGCAUGCGGAUGUUGUGUGGGGGCGUCAUUAGUUCCUCUUUUGAGCAACGAUUAUUUAUUGAAUAUUAAUAAUGAAUGUUUCUGGAUCUAUGGUAUUUUUAGGAAGCCGUUGUAAAAUCUCAUAAUCCUGACUUCGGAUAUUUUGGUUCCAUCUAGUAUUUAUAUGCCUUGGUAGCUACCGCGCUGCUGUCGGAAACUGGCGUCGGUCUUUGACAGCUGAGUCUGUUCUCGUGCGGCGGAGCCUGUGAGGGCGGCCGCCUCUGCCCCGUCUGGCCGAGCUGAUAUGCCUGCAUGAGCUGCAAACCCCAAAGACCAACCUAGCCCGUAGCUUUGGGAGAAAAAAAGCAGGAUUUUGUUCUCCCAUUCACUAUGGGAGCCGAUACUGACAGGCGUGGAUGACAUGGACCCCAUGGCCUGGGUGCUGAAGAGUGGACAGCAGUCAUGGACAGGAACAUGAUCGCAGGAAAUUACUCUUUCAUCGCAGUAAGGUGUCAGCCAUGUGUCCUACAUGCCGUCCCCUGCAAAUAUGGAGGGUGUAUGUAACAUUAGACAGGCAUGCAGUGUUUCAGUAUUCUGGACCUUUUGCACAAUUUUAAAGAAUGUUGAAAAUAUUUUCAAAUAUGCAAUGAAAUUUUGUCAGUAAUUAUGAAGUAAACCAUGCAUUGUAUUGGUAAAUUUGAUUGCAAUCGGUGACUGACCUGGGCUUCAAACUUGGUUGUAUUUUUUUGAAUGUGGAUUCUUUAGAAAUAAACAAAUUUGUAUUUGCUUUUUACAUGUAUAUUGAAAAAACGUCACCUGUGUUAGUGCUUUCAAGUGACACUAAACUAAUGGCACUAAUCACAAUACUACUGUUAUUACAGACAUUACAGACAAAAAUCCCCCUAUAGCCUACUGUGGAAUGUUUCCAUCUUUGAAGCUUAAUAAACAAUGAGCAUUAGAAUACGUCUAAUCUACAGUGUGCAUUGUCGAUAUGGAUAUUUCUUGUCUGUAUAAAUUUUGAGUAUUUAUUAUUAUGUAGUAAAGGUAUCAUAAAAUAUACCUUUAUUAUAUAUAUAUAUAUAUAUAUAUAUGUAUAUAUAUAUGUGUAUAUAUAUAUAUGUAUAUAUAUGUAUGUAUGUAUGUAUGUAUGUAUGUAUAUAUAUAUAUGUAACCCCAAGUUAAGUUAUGUCAAAGUGAAUACUGUUGUCUAUUUUGUAAAAUGUAUUAGACAGUAUCCUAAUGCUCAGAAGUCGUUUUCAACAUGUUGAAUGCAGAAGUAAGCAGGAAUAAAGAUCUGAUUGGCUCUGAUGCGAGAUGUGAAUGAGGGCUAUCCUGUGUGGUACAAACCAAUAGAAGAGCUACUAUGGCACGAAUUGCAGAUAAUCCUGAUCAUCAUGGGAGUAAUGUGCCACAGUCAGACUUGUCGGUCCUGCCCAUCCCACAGACACGUAUGCAACCGCCCACGUGAUGCAACAGAAAACAGGAUUUAUUGGACCAGGAGACCUUCCCAUGCUCUAAGGUUGGCACUUUUGUGCUGAUCUCCGUGGUAGACAGGGGUCAGCACAGACAUUCUGACUGGCCUGCUCAUGCGAAUCAGGGCUCUGUGUGUUCAUGGUUAUCUCCUCCUUGCACCACUUUUAGUAGCUUCUCAUCAUCAUGACCAUGAGCACCAUAAGCUUCGCCAUUUUCUAAAUACUCUGGCCCAAUUGUCUGGCCAUAGUGAUUUUGUCCUUGUCAAAGUUACUCAAAUCUUAAAUCCCUGCCCCAUGUCUCCUGCCUUCAACAUGUUGACUACGAGUACUGAAUAUUAUUUUACCAGCUAAUUUAUCCCAGACCAUGACACACAUCAUUUUAACUAGAUGGUCGACAUUAUAGCGAUCACCACCAGCACAUGGCCAAAUAUUGACUUCUAAUGCUUUUUAAAAUAUUGGCAUAGCCAGUGAGGAAGAAAUUCAAAUAACUUAUAUUGCUUAAGUUCCAUAGCUCUGCAGUCAGGAUAUAGAUGGGUGAAUGUAGCAUGUACAAAGAAUUAUGUGAUAAUUUGGGGAUAUUUAUGCCGUGUUUUCCCAUAGGCAAAGUUUUGAGAGGUUUUCAUUCCCAGUUCUCGAACUCUUCACUGUGUACAUACUGUCCAGCUCAUUUUCACCUGUUAAUAAUUCUGACUAAGUGCUUAAGCGCUUAGUCAGAAGGAAUAUAUGGACAGACAGCUGACUAGAACUAGGAAUGAAGACUUCUGAAACAAAUGGUAACUGAUGGCAUACAAAAAUAUCAAGCAAAAGAAAUUAUGAAUUCGAUCAUAACUCUCAUAGUGAAGUCAAUUUUGACGACUGUAUUCUGUUAUCAGGAGAGUAAAUUGAGUGAUUGCGGACUCAGUACGUGGACAAAAGAUAUGUCCUAACAGAAGUAUAUAUGUCCCCAUUUGGACUUCUGUGUUAAAUAUAAUGUUUCAAUAUUUUUGUUUUAACAGUAAAUGAAGGCAGCCUGUAAAUGUCAACCAUCUCUAGUCAAGCCUUUGAUGAUACUGAAAGCUAAAACAUAUACUGUCAAUUGAGUUUUGAAUGUGCAAGGACAGCAUUGUAACUGUGAAAUAUGGUGUUAAUAGAUGGGUAUUAAAACGGAUCUCAGAAUUUUGAGACACACUGCCCUCGUCCUCCAGCUUAAGUUGUUGAAUAUUAAACAUAUAAAUUACGACCAUGAAAAUGUCCCAGAAAUAAAACCUUACCAUUUACUCAU